Brachypodium distachyon (stiff brome) is the source of this 125-nucleotide non-coding RNA. The record is from Rfam. NCBI's taxonomy places the organism in Eukaryota, Viridiplantae, Streptophyta, Magnoliopsida, Poales, Poaceae.
CAAAUACUCCCUCCGUUCCAUAAUUCUUGUCUCAAAUUUGUCCAAAAGUGGAUGCAUCUAUUCCUAAAAAGUAUCUACGUACAUGUAAUAUUUCGACAAGAAUUAUGGAACGGAGGGAGUAAUUC